GAAGUGGGGAUGACGUCAAGUCAGCAUGGCCUUUAUAUCCUGGGCUACACACACGCUACAAUGGGAAGGGACAAUAGGUUGCGAAGCCGCGAGGCGGAGCCAAUCCAGCAAAACUUCCCUCAGUUCAGAUUGCAGGCUGCAACCCGCCUGCAUGAAGUUGGAGUUGCUAGUAAACGCAGGUCAGCCAUACUGCGUUGAAUACGUUCCCGGGGCUU
Molecule: ribosomal RNA, 215 nt
Filed under: uncultured Anaerolineaceae bacterium
Lineage: Bacteria; Bacillati; Chloroflexota; Anaerolineae; Anaerolineales; Anaerolineaceae
Description: partial 16S ribosomal RNA
Rfam family: Bacterial small subunit ribosomal RNA
Source: RNAcentral